GGCUCGGUGGCGCAAUGGACAGCACAUUGGACUUCUAGUGGAACAGAGGAGAAGUGAUUCAAAGGUUGUGGGUUCGAGUCCCACCAGAGUCA
This 92-nucleotide transfer RNA is filed under the name Perca flavescens (yellow perch). It matches the Rfam family "tRNA". Rfam says of the family: Transfer RNA (tRNA) molecules are approximately 80 nucleotides in length. Their secondary structure includes four short double-helical elements and three loops (D, anti-codon, and T loops). Further hydrogen bonds mediate the characteristic L-shaped molecular structure. tRNAs have two regions of fundamental functional importance: the anti-codon, which is responsible for specific mRNA codon recognition, and the 3' end, to which the tRNAs corresponding amino acid is attached (by aminoacyl-tRNA synthetases). tRNAs cope with the degeneracy of the genetic code in two manners: having more than one tRNA (with a specific anti-codon) for a particular amino acid; and 'wobble' base-pairing, i.e. permitting non-standard base-pairing at the 3rd anti-codon position. Lineage: Eukaryota; Metazoa; Chordata; Actinopteri; Perciformes; Percidae. The record is from Rfam by way of RNAcentral.